This 301-nucleotide ribosomal RNA is filed under the name uncultured bacterium. Its description in RNAcentral is "partial 16S ribosomal RNA". It matches the Rfam family "Bacterial small subunit ribosomal RNA", at positions 509 to 807 of the family's 1533-position model. The record is from RNAcentral.
CAGCAGCCGCGGGAAUACGAAGGGGGCUAGCGUUGCUCGGAAUUACUGGGCGUAAAGGGAGCGUAGGCGGAUCGUUUAGUCAGGGGUGAAAUCCCGGGGCUCAACCUCGGAACUGCCUUUGAUACUGGCGAUCUUGAGUAUGGGAGAGGUGUGUGGAACUCCGAGUGUAGAGGUGAAAUUCGUAGAUAUUCGGAAGAACACCAGUGGCGAAGGCGACACACUGGCCCAUUACUGACGCUGAGACUCGAAAGCGUGGGGAGCAAACAGGAUUAGAUACCCGCGUAGUCCCUGUCUCUUAUAC